This 460-nucleotide ribosomal RNA is filed under the name uncultured bacterium. Its description in RNAcentral is "partial 16S ribosomal RNA". It matches the Rfam family "Bacterial small subunit ribosomal RNA", at positions 338 to 795 of the family's 1533-position model. The record is from RNAcentral.
CCUACGGGAGGCAGCAGUGAGGAAUAUUGGUCAAUGGACGAGAGUCUGAACCAGCCAAGUAGCGUGAAGGAUGACUGCCCUAUGGGUUGUAAACUUCUUUUAUAAAGGAAUAAAACGAGGCACGUGUGCCUUUUUGCAUGUACUUUAUGAAUAAGGAUCGGCUAACUCCGUGCCAGCAGCCGCGGUAAUACGGAGGAUCCGAGCGUUAUCCGGAUUUAUUGGGUUUAAAGGGAGCGUAGAUGGGUUGUUAAGUCAGUUGUGAAAGUUUGCGGCUCAACCGUAAAAUUGCAAUUGAUACUGGCAGUCUUGAGUACAGUUGAGGUAGGCGGAAUUCGUGGUGUAGCGGUGGAAUGCUUAGAUAUCACGAAGAACCCCGAUUGCGAAGGCAGCUUACUAAACUGUGACUGACAUUGAUGCUCGAAAGUGUGGGUAUCAAACAGGAUUAGAUACCCCUGUAGUC